GAUGAACGCUGGCGGCGUGCCUAAUACAUGCAAGUCGAGCGAACAGACGAGGAGCUUGCUCCUCUGACGUUAGCGGCGGACGGGUGAGUAACACGUGGAUAACCUACCUAUAAGACUGGGAUAACUUCGGGAAACCGGAGCUAAUACCGGAUAAUAUAUUGAACCGCAUGGUUCAAUAGUGAAAGACGGUUUUGCUGUCACUUAUAGAUGGAUCCGCGCCGCAUUAGCUAGUUGGUAAGGUAACGGCUUACCAAGGCAACGAUGCGUAGCCGACCUGAGAGGGUGAUCGCCCACACUGGAACUGCGACACGGUCCAGACUCCUACGGGAGGCAGCAGUAGGGAAUCUUCCGCAAUGGGCGAAAGCCUGACGGAGCAACGCCGCGUGAGUGAUGAAGGUCUUCGGAUCGUAAAACUCUGUUAUUAGGGAAGAACAAAUGUGUAAGUAACUAUGCACGUCUUGACGGUACCUAAUCAGAAAGCCACGGCUAACUACGUG
Molecule: ribosomal RNA, 497 nt
Filed under: uncultured bacterium
Lineage: Bacteria
Description: partial 16S ribosomal RNA
Rfam family: Bacterial small subunit ribosomal RNA
Source: RNAcentral